UUUCCUUAGUAACGGCGAGUGAACAGGAAAAAGCUCAAAGUUGGAACCUGUUUGGCCUAGCUAAACCGGAUUGUAAACUGUAGAAGUGUUUUCCAGGCAAGCCGGACCGAUAAGUCCUUUGGAACAGGGCAUCAUAGAGGGUGAGAAUCCCGUCUUCGGUCUGAGCAUUUGCCUUUUGCGAUACACUUUCAAAGAGUCAGGUUGUUUGGGAAUGCAGCCUAAAUUGGGUGGUAAAUCUCACCUAAAGCUAAAUAUUGGCGAGAAACCGAUAGCGAACAAGUACCGUGAGGGAAAGAUGAAAAGAACUUUGAAAAGAGAGUUAAACAGUAUGUGAAAUUGUUAAAAGGGAACCGUUUGGAGCCAGACUGGCUUGUCUGUAAUCAGUCUAAGCUUCGGCUUGCAUGCACUUGCAGGCUAUGCCUGCCAACGACAAUUUGGCUUGAGGGAAAAAACUAGGGGAAAUGUGGCCCAUUCGUGGGUGUUAUAGUCCCUUAGAAAAUACCUUGGGCUGGAUUGAGGUACGCAGCGAAUGCUAUUUGGCGAGUUGGCUGGGAAUAUUUUCCGAGGUGCUCCGGUACUGAGGUUGAUAUUUCCAGUUACACUUCUAUUCGCUUAGGUUGUUGGCUUAAUGGCUCUAAAUGAC
This 643-nucleotide ribosomal RNA is filed under the name Rhizopus microsporus. RNAcentral describes it as "partial large subunit ribosomal RNA". It matches the Rfam family "Eukaryotic large subunit ribosomal RNA", at positions 75 to 648 of the family's 3401-position model. The record is from RNAcentral. Lineage: Eukaryota; Fungi; Mucoromycota; Mucoromycetes; Mucorales; Rhizopodaceae.